UNUCAGGCUCCUUCAGCAUGCACUUCUUG
Molecule: non-coding RNA, 29 nt
Filed under: Mus musculus (house mouse)
Lineage: Eukaryota; Metazoa; Chordata; Mammalia; Rodentia; Muridae
Source: RNAcentral